CCUACGGGUGACAGCAGUGGGGAAUAUUGCACAAUGGGGGCAAGCCUGAUGCAGCAACGCCGCGUGGGUGAAGAAGGACUUCGGUAUGUAAAGCCCUGUUGGCAGGGAAGAAAAUGACGGUGCCUAACUAAGAAGCUCCGGCUAAUUACGUGCCAGCAGCCACGGUCAUACGUCGGGGGCACGCGUUAGCCGGAUUUACUGGGCGUAAAGGGAGCGGAGACGGCAAGGCAAGUCUGGAGUGAAAGCCCCUGGCUCAACCUCGGGACUGCUUUGGAAACUGUGUGACUGGAGUGCAGGAGGGGUAAGCGGAAUUCCAAGUGUAGCGGUGAAAUGCGUAGAUAUUAGGAGGAACACCGGUGGCGAAGGCGGCUUACUGGGCUGUAACUGACGUUGAGGCUCGAAAGCGUGGGGAGCAAACAGGAUUAGAUACCCGAGUAGUC
This 440-nucleotide ribosomal RNA is filed under the name uncultured bacterium. Its description in RNAcentral is "partial 16S ribosomal RNA". It matches the Rfam family "Bacterial small subunit ribosomal RNA", at positions 338 to 795 of the family's 1533-position model. The record is from RNAcentral.